RNAcentral lists this transfer RNA (68 nucleotides) under Evtepia gabavorous. It matches the Rfam family "tRNA". Rfam says of the family: Transfer RNA (tRNA) molecules are approximately 80 nucleotides in length. Their secondary structure includes four short double-helical elements and three loops (D, anti-codon, and T loops). Lineage: Bacteria; Bacillati; Bacillota; Clostridia; Eubacteriales. The record is from RNAcentral. RNAcentral also lists the same sequence under 5 other names.
CAGGUAGCUCAGUUGGUAGAGCAGCGGACUGAAAAUCCGCGUGUCGCUGGUUCGAUUCCGGCCCUGGG